GAUGAACGCUGGCGGCGUGCCUAAUACAUGCAAGUCGAGCGAACAGACGAGGAGCUUGCUCCUCUGACGUUAGCGGCGGACGGGUGAGUAACACGUGGAUAACCUACCUAUAAGACUGGGAUAACUUCGGGAAACCGGAGCUAAUACCGGAUAAUAUAUUGAACCGCAUGGUUCAAUAGUGAAAGACGGUUUUGCUGUCACUUAUAGAUGGAUCCGCGCCGCAUUAGCUAGUUGGUAAGGUAACGGCUUACCAAGGCAACGAUGCGUAGCCGACCUGAGAGGGGUGUCGGCCACACUGGAACUGAGGCCCGGUCCAAACUCCUACGGGAAGCAACAGUAGGGAAUCUUCCGCAAUGGGCGAAAGCUUGACGGGGCAAAGCCGCGUGAGGGAUGAAGGUCUUCGGAUCGUAAAACUCUGUUAUUAGGGAAGAACAAAUGUGUAAGGAACUAUGCACGUCUUGACGGUACCUAAUCAGAAAGCCACGGCUAACUACGUU
Molecule: ribosomal RNA, 497 nt
Filed under: uncultured bacterium
Lineage: Bacteria
Description: partial 16S ribosomal RNA
Rfam family: Bacterial small subunit ribosomal RNA
Source: RNAcentral